Molecule: long non-coding RNA, 2586 nt
Filed under: Triticum aestivum (bread wheat)
Lineage: Eukaryota; Viridiplantae; Streptophyta; Magnoliopsida; Poales; Poaceae
Description: long non-coding RNA (TAES_LNC018268)
Source: RNAcentral
GAUGGUUUCUAAAACAGUGAGAGUUGCGGGGAGAGCAGUGCUCAUGUUUUAGCCUUGUUUAGUUGUAUUGCACUCCAGAUUUGAUCUUGUUUAGUCUUUAGUAAAAAAAUCACCCAACUGCUUCAAGUUUAUUCAAUCUUAGCAGUAAUACAAAAAAUCAUUAGUUAUCAGUGUUUUUGUGUUUAAUCCAAUCUUAUCUAUCAUUUUUUUGUCAGCCUUCUUUCUCCCUGUUUUUAGUUCUCAGUUAUCUAUUUUUUUAGAUCAUUGGUUAUCAUUCACAUGUCAGUGUGUUUGUAUUUAGUUUAUCAUUCAGCUUUGUAUUUAUUUUUUGUCUGUCAUCUUCUUCUAGUUGAUCAGUCCAUAUUGUCUUUCUUAUCGGUUUUGUCAUUAGUAAUUAGUUAUUAGUCUUGUUUUGUCCUCUAUGUUAGUUAGUUCAUCAGUGUAUUUAGUUUUUAGUUAUAAUUUAUAAUUAUUUUGCCUUACUAUUUAUCAUUUUCCAGCUUCCAUAUCAUUCUUCAUUUAUCAGUCAUCUGCAUUGUUUCUUUCUCCCUGUUUUUAGUUCUCAAUUAUCUUUUCUUGGAUCAUUAUUUAUCAUUCAUAUGUCAGUGUGUUUGUAUUUAGUUUAUCAUUUAGUCUUUGUAUUUAUUUUCUGUCUGUCAUCUUUUAUUGUUUUCAGUCUUGUUCAUCAGUUCCUUUCAAUUUUUUUUGCUCAAACUAAUCUUUGUGUAUUUUUAAAAUUAAACCGUAUCAGUCUUCCAUUUUUUAGGUCGGUCAGUUUCAUUCUUUGUUUUCAUCUAGGUGUAUUUGUUUAUAUCUAGAGCUCCCAAUUAACCUAAUUUAUGAGAAAAGUUUUCACGGUCCAAACAACGCCUAAGUUGGUUUCGAUUAUGAGGCUAUGCCUUUUUUAAAAUUAUGGUUCUAAAAGCCAGGGCACACGUGCAACGCAUUUUUCAGUGUCACGCUAGCGAAAGCCUUUUCAUUAAUGUGUUCACUUAUUAGGUCUUCAGUCAUUCGAUUGUCAUCUUGAGUCGUUGUAGUUCACUUAUUAGGUUUACAGUCUUCUUUUCUCUUCUGCUGUCUGUUUUAUCCAGUCAUUGUUGUUCAAAUUUCCUCUAAUUUUCUUCAGUUUAUUCAAGUAUAAUUUUUCCUUGAUCUUCUUUUGCUUAGUUGCUCUUAGUUCUAGGCCAUACAGAAUUCUUACUCACUCUUAGUUUUAGUAAAUCUACAUUUAUCAACAGUUUUUUAUAGUUUGUUUUUACACAUAAUUAGUUAACCCUAGGUGUACUCAUAUUGGAUCUUACAUGCUUAUUCCUAUCUAGUUUUCGGUCAGAGACCAGAUGAAAGUAGUUUUCAGACUAGUAUUACUAUAUAUAGAAGAAAGGUCAGCCAGCAUAGCGCUGCAAGUUCGACAUUGUCUGCUCGCGCUAGGGAUGGAAUGGAAGUUGUCAUAAAUUAUAUCAUGGGAUCAGUGCUCCUUUUUCUAUGAGCUUGUAUCAUUUAGCUAUUAUUCAGUUUCUUGGAGUUUAGGCUUGGAAUGGAUUCGCUAUACCAUGGAUCAUGUGUUAACUUGUAUCAGUGUUGUACUGGCCUCUCAUACUUAUAUGAUUUGGAUGAAUAAGGUAACAAAUUUUUUCUUUUGCAUCAUUGUCCUUUCAUACAUUUCAGAUUUUGAUGAAUUGCAGGAGAUCCUUAUAUUAUUUCUUCAGUGUUUUAUCAGUCAGUGAGCUAGAACCUAGUUCUUGGUUAGUUUAAUCUUUCUUCGGUUUCUAUAUGUUCCUAGGUGAAUUAUCAGUACUGUUCAGUGUUACAUUCGGUGUUUCAUUACUUUCUUUCUUCAGAUUUGUCCAUGCUUUUCAGUUGUGAUAUAUGGCACUUUUGCAAAAAAAAAUCUUCAGUUCUUCAAAUUUUCUAUCCAGUUUUUUUUCAUUGUCUUAUAUCUCUUACUUUACUUCAUUUACUUUUUUGUACUCGUAUAAUUCUCAUUUCCUCAUUCUUAUUCUUCAAUCCUUUCUUUUUAUAUGACUUACCACUCUUUCAAUCUUUCGCCCUAUUCAUUUAAUUUUACCGAAAAAAGGUUUCCCCCCGCUUUGUAUACAAAGCAACCAACCGAACCAUACAGGGAUAGGUGCUAGGAUGGAAGCAGCACAGUCACGCCCAAACGAAACGACAGAGAAAAGCAAAAGAAACAAUUGUAGUAAGUUUGAGUGAUGCAAUUUUGAGUUUUGGUUCGCCUUGUCAAUUGUGACAGCGGGGUCAUUCUCAGUUCCUGAUUUUUUUUUCUUGCAGGGUGUUAUUUAAUUAUUUAAUUGAACGGUUCAGGGUUUGAAGAUGUUACUUAGGAACAACCAGAAUUGUUCGAUAUUUCUCUGCAAAUAAAAGAACCACUUGAUAUUAUAGAAGACAGGUGUCGACCAUUGCUGACUUUUUGAUUGAAAAGGCAGCAAGUAUUUUAGGGUACCACAUAGUGCGAAGACACACAAUACGAGAGAGCAAGUUGCGUCAAUCUCUGAGAGAUCAUCAAAGUUCAGUUCGACUACUGUACGACAUGUCACCUUCUGACAUCAGCUGAACACUGCUAUAACUAAA